This is a long non-coding RNA of Pygoscelis adeliae (Adelie penguin), 209 nucleotides long. RefSeq lists it as uncharacterized. The record is from RefSeq and is a predicted model, not a curated record. Lineage: Eukaryota; Metazoa; Chordata; Aves; Sphenisciformes; Spheniscidae. The transcript has 2 exons.
CUGUAGUGAGAAACGGGAUGCCUUGAACGUCCCUCCUCGGGAACUGCCCAGACCGAGCAGCCUCAGGGAGCAUCCUGGAGUGCUGAGUGCCCGAGGAAGCGAAGACACGUCACUGACUGGGAGAGCUUUCUGGAAAAUAUGCCAUGAAUUUACACUUGUGUUUCAAAGAAGUUUAAUCCAGAUCAGCAAAAAAUGCAUGAUAAUUGGUA